UCUUGUUGAGCCAACACAUCUUUAACCCUCCUUUGCCACAAUCGGAAAUUACCACUUCCAUCGAACUUCUCAACCUCAAAUUUGGCACCUGAGUUAAGAGCCAUUUGAUACCAAUUGUUGGAAACAAGCGAGCAAUCAAAUAGUAAAUGAGUAGAAAGAAAAGAUAAUAAUACAAGGGAUUUGAUAAUGAGGUUCGGCCAAUUGUGCAUACAUCCACGAGAGCAUUGAGGCUAUCACUAUGUAUUAGAGAAUUAGGAUUUGUGUUUAGCUAGUGUUCUCCUUAUUACAUUAAUUUACAUAACAUAAAUAUAUAGCUCUCUUCCCCAACCCCUUUACAUUAGCCCAAGCUCAUAACUUGUAUUGUUGUUAUCUAGAGAAUAUGAGCCACUACACAUCUAGACUAAUACAAUACAUAUUUCAAGCAUCCCCAACAAUUCUUGUUAGUCCAGACUGUGAUCGGGGAGCCUCUAAC
Molecule: long non-coding RNA, 472 nt
Filed under: Lupinus angustifolius (narrow-leaved blue lupine)
Lineage: Eukaryota; Viridiplantae; Streptophyta; Magnoliopsida; Fabales; Fabaceae
Description: long non-coding RNA (LANG_LNC000077)
Source: RNAcentral